Molecule: ribosomal RNA, 876 nt
Filed under: Monoraphidium sp. NTAI03
Lineage: Eukaryota; Viridiplantae; Chlorophyta; Chlorophyceae; Sphaeropleales; Selenastraceae
Description: partial 18S ribosomal RNA
Source: RNAcentral
GGGAAAAUUAAUCCAUCAGCAGGUAAUACCGGGACUUUCACGGAAGGGACUUAUUUAUUAGAGAAAAGGCCGACCGCGUUUGCAGCCCAGGGUGAAAGUGUUAUUUCAUAAUACGUGGUUUAGGUGGCGAGAUUUUUGAUGGCGGGGUAUGAGUUUGGUGGAGAGGGGGGUCGAUGUGGUUCGAGGAGGAGGUGGUGUGGGUUCGAGGGGGGUGGGAACGGUUCAUUUCAGGAGGAGGGGGGCAAUGACACUUUAUCGGGGGAGGGCAUAAAAAAUGCGGAUUAUGGGGAAUGAAGGUAAUUAUGCCUUAAGAGACAUGGAGGGGGUUGGGCAGAGCGGUUUUCGCUCGUAGGAUUUAGUGUUCAUUAGAGGUGUGUGGUUGGGGGUCCGCGUCGCUAGGGGGAUGUGGGCCCCUUGGGGGAAGGUUUUGGUUCAUGGGGGGUGAGCGAGAGAAUUGAGAAAUAGGUGUUAAGAGCCUAGCUUGAUACUUACCAGGAUUCGGUGGAUUUGGCUUUUUGGUUGGCUAAGGACGGAGAAUGUUUAAAGGACGUGGGGGCUUUGUUUUUAUUUCCGAGGGAAAUUUGGAUUUUGAAAAAGACUACGGAAACUUUCCAGGAGUUUUCUUAAAAAAACAAAUUGGGGCCCAAACCAUAAAACCUCGAGCCAACCUUAACAACCACAGGAUUGAAAUUUUUUUAAGCUUCCCGCACUUAAAAAUAAAUUUGGUCCGGGGGGUUGCCCAGCUAAAUUAGGUUGGGAGGGCCCCCCGGGGGGCUGGGUAAUUGCCACAGGAAAUCACGGCCACUGGGGUGCAAGGGCCUUUGGCUCUGGGGGGGGAGGCUUCAUGGGGCCUCGGUGUCGAAAAAACCCCUUUAA